Molecule: unclassified non-coding RNA, 228 nt
Filed under: Hevea brasiliensis (rubber tree)
Lineage: Eukaryota; Viridiplantae; Streptophyta; Magnoliopsida; Malpighiales; Euphorbiaceae
Source: RNAcentral
AUCAAUAUGCAUGUACUUCAUCUCAUUCAGAUUACGGCUUUCUAACCUUUUCCACUUCAAGGGGCUUUUCUUGUUCACUUGUGGAUUUAGAGGCUACUAGUAUGUGACAGACAGUGAACCCAAACUCCAUACUUUCCUACUCAGAAAAUGACCAAUUGUGCUUCCAUAUGCGUACCUUUUAUCCAUUACAUGUUUUCGAUGCUACCUGUCUACUUGUCUUCUACUGAG